UGUGGCGUAGCUCAGUCGGUAGAGCCGAGUUGCCAGUUAUGCAGAGGGGUCGCUGGUUCGAAUCCAGCCGCCAUGC
RNAcentral lists this transfer RNA (76 nucleotides) under Cupriavidus sp. RNAcentral describes it as "tRNA-Asn". It matches the Rfam family "tRNA". From Rfam's summary of the family: Transfer RNA (tRNA) molecules are approximately 80 nucleotides in length. Their secondary structure includes four short double-helical elements and three loops (D, anti-codon, and T loops). Lineage: Bacteria; Pseudomonadati; Pseudomonadota; Betaproteobacteria; Burkholderiales; Burkholderiaceae. RNAcentral also lists the same sequence under 1 other name. The record is from RNAcentral.